RNAcentral lists this ribosomal RNA (254 nucleotides) under uncultured bacterium. RNAcentral's name for it is "partial 16S ribosomal RNA". It matches the Rfam family "Bacterial small subunit ribosomal RNA", at positions 524 to 776 of the family's 1533-position model. The record is from RNAcentral.
GACGUAGGGCGCGAGCGUUGUCCGGAUUUAUUGGGCGUAAAGAGCUCGUAGGCGGCUUGUCGCGUCAACUGUGAAAACCCGUGGCUCAACCAUGUGGUCUGCAGUCGAUACGGGCAGGCUAGAAUUCGGUAGGGGAGACUGGAAUUCCUGGUGUAGCGGUGAAAUGCGCAGAUAUCAGGAGGAACACCGGUGGCGAGGGCGGGUCUCUGGGCCGAUAUUGACGCUGAGGAGCGAAAGCGUGGGGAGCGAACAGG